This 87-nucleotide transfer RNA is filed under the name Methylophilaceae bacterium. RNAcentral describes it as "tRNA-Leu". It matches the Rfam family "tRNA". From Rfam's summary of the family: Transfer RNA (tRNA) molecules are approximately 80 nucleotides in length. Their secondary structure includes four short double-helical elements and three loops (D, anti-codon, and T loops). Further hydrogen bonds mediate the characteristic L-shaped molecular structure. tRNAs have two regions of fundamental functional importance: the anti-codon, which is responsible for specific mRNA codon recognition, and the 3' end, to which the tRNAs corresponding amino acid is attached (by aminoacyl-tRNA synthetases). tRNAs cope with the degeneracy of the genetic code in two manners: having more than one tRNA (with a specific anti-codon) for a particular amino acid; and 'wobble' base-pairing, i.e. permitting non-standard base-pairing at the 3rd anti-codon position. The record is from RNAcentral. Lineage: Bacteria; Pseudomonadati; Pseudomonadota; Betaproteobacteria; Nitrosomonadales; Methylophilaceae. RNAcentral also lists the same sequence under 3 other names.
GCCCGGGUGGUGAAAUUGGUAGACACAAGAGACUUAAAAUCUCUCGCCUCACAAGGCGUGCCGGUUCGAUUCCGGCCCCGGGCACCA